This 31-nucleotide non-coding RNA is filed under the name Mus musculus (house mouse). The record is from RNAcentral. Lineage: Eukaryota; Metazoa; Chordata; Mammalia; Rodentia; Muridae.
UAAGAUGCCGCUUUCCCUAUAGCUGAGGAAC